This is a long non-coding RNA of Bradysia coprophila, 337 nucleotides long. RefSeq lists it as uncharacterized. NCBI's taxonomy places the organism in Eukaryota, Metazoa, Arthropoda, Insecta, Diptera, Sciaridae. The record is from RefSeq and is a predicted model, not a curated record.
UGUUUUUUCGAUAUAAAACACCGAAUAUUACGAUCUUCUGGCUCAGUUUAACAUCCGUUCGAAGACAUCUUUUUACUUAAAAACCAAAAAUGAAAUUCUUACUGUUCGUUUGUGUUGCGGUAUUGUGCUUGGAAACUGUACUCGGGUUUUUUGUUUUACCGCCGGGAACGGCUGUAUCACCGACCGAUUUUAUCCAAGCUCUGGCAGCAGCUGAAGCAGCUAAGGCUGCACUUAAAUUUGGACCAUUCACUCCUUUUACUGCCGGUAAAUAGAUUUUGAAGACGGUCAAAGUUCUAACAACUUCAAUUUCAAUAAAUUUCAUUUCUGUUGAACCGUA